RNAcentral lists this long non-coding RNA (692 nucleotides) under Serinus canaria (Common canary). Its description in RNAcentral is "lncRNA (ENSSCAG00000001481.1)". The record is from RNAcentral. Lineage: Eukaryota; Metazoa; Chordata; Aves; Passeriformes; Fringillidae.
AGGAACAUGCCAGAGCAGAGUGGAACCCUUUCAACCACAGAGUAUAUUCAUACUUAUCCUGUUACAGCAAUAGAAAUACAAUGGUAAGUCAUUUAAUAUUUUACAUUUGCUGGAACAUCCCACAGGAAUGUUGGCAAUGCACAAGGCAGCUCAGAAACUAUGGGCAGAAGAAAGAAGUUGUGGGACUGAUAUGAACAAAACAACAAGGAUGCAAAAACCCCCAUCUUUAGGACACAAAUGUGAAAGACAGAACUCAGUGGUGGUUGUUGAAAACUGCCUGACUGAAAACAUGCUGAAAUAGCAUCACAUGAUAUUUGAGCCAGGGGCAGCAGGAAGCUCUCGCUGCUCUGCAGCCACAGCCGCGUUCGACACCGGGUGGGAUGCAGGGCGCCGAGCGCUGGAGACACUCAGGGCCACGCACAGAAUCCUCCUGCCUCAGAACACCAAUAAAUCUGGUUCCACUGGGUUGAUACAACCAGCACUCACUGUCACAGCACAGACCUGCCCAGCAGCUGCAGCCAGGACCUUUGGCUGCCAAGUGUCCUUCCCUAAAUCCAUCUUGUGGGCCAAAGGCAAAGGACGUGUUGCAAUGGACAACACUAUCAAACAUGGAUCAAUGGCCAUCAGCCUGAUUCUCCCCCUCCUCUUAGUGAAGGCACAUUCAUUUACCUGGUUUCUUCCUAUACAAUCAG